AGUGAACGCUGGCGGUAUGCCUAACACAUGCAAGUCGAACGGCAGCACAGUAAGAGCUUGCUCUUACGGGUGGCGAGUGGCUGACGGGUGAGGAAUACAUCGGAAUCUACUUUUUCGUGGGGGAUAACGUAGGGAAACUUACGCUAAUACCGCAUACGACCUACGGGUGAAAGCAGGGGAUCUUCGGACCUUGCGCGAUUGAAUGAGCCGAUGUCGGAUUAGCUAGUUGGCGGGGUAAAGGCCCACCAAGGCGACGAUCCGUAGCUGGUCUGAGAGGAUGAUCAGCCACACUGGAACUGAGACACGGUCCAGACUCCUACGGGAGGCAGCAGUGGGGAAUAUUGGACAAUGGGCGCAAGCCUGAUCCAGCCAUACCGCGUGGGUGAAGAAGGCCUUCGGGUUGUAAAGCCCUUUUGUUGGGAAAGAAAAGCAGCAGGUUAAUACCCCGCUGUUCUGACGGUACCCAAAGAAUAAGCACCGGCUAACUUCGUG
This 492-nucleotide ribosomal RNA is filed under the name uncultured bacterium. RNAcentral describes it as "partial 16S ribosomal RNA". It matches the Rfam family "Bacterial small subunit ribosomal RNA", at positions 29 to 507 of the family's 1533-position model. The record is from RNAcentral.